AUCCGGCAGACCUUCCUUGGAUGAUCUCCCUACAAGGUCUCUUCGCCUUCUGCGGUAGAUCUUCUCGGAUCGUCUCUUAGAUUUCCUACAAGGCGACUUCUCUCUCUAGCUAUUCAUGGUGCCGUGAUUUUGCUAGGCAUCAAGAGAUGGUCUCUUUGGAUUUCCUAUGAGACGAAUCCUUUACUUGACUUCGAUUUGCUAGAGUUUUUGGGGCUUUUUCACGGUGUGGUGGUUUUAUGCAGAGGUAUUUUCUGCACCCAAUUACCUCUGUGAAGGUAGUAGAUAUGCUGAAGAGUUGGAAUCAAUCUUCCAAGGGUUUUCUUGGGGGUGCUUGAUGAGGCUCAUGGGAGUAUUCUCUUCCUUUCUCUAUGUUCUUCUAUAGAUUAGAAAUAUUUAGUGGGGUUCUUUUUUCCUGUGUUGUAGGGGGCUUUUAAGAUUUGUUUAUGAUCCUUGAAGUGUGGGAGAAAGAAAGAUGAAUGAGAUAAUGUAUGAUCUUGUAGCUAGGGUGGUGCCUUUGCGGGUGCGCUUGCGGGCCAACCCAUCUAAUCUCAAUAAAAUUUCUUUCUUUUUGUGCGGGGAGGGUUUUUUCUCAGGGCUCUCUUUUUUUGCCUUGGGCCCUCUCCUGUGUGGUGUCUUUUUUUUUUUUUAGUGCCCUUUUCACUUUUUUACUCUUUCCGUCUCCCCUGAACAUCUGAUUUAGGGCAUGUUCUGGCGUUCCCAGUUUCUGAAGUUGACUGGAUGCCUUGCUGCCAAAUUGCAGUUGAAAAUCCUAACAGAACAUCCCUGUUCAAAUUUCAACUAUCACUUGGGCUGGGGAGGUGGGAAAACACAAUCCUCUAUUACUAUUGGUCUAUUUUCUGCACUGUCCAAACAUUAAUCACAUAUCUUGAGGCUUUGGAAGGCUUUCCAAAGCUGGGUUUGGGGAUUUGCCCAAAGGCUCCCUUUUCUGCUUGCACUUCAAGUUUCAUCACUCAGCUGCAUAGAUCACACAUAGCAACGGCAUUCAACAGCUGCAAGCCUAAAAGUUCAUCCCUGUUAUCGGAAUCCAACCAAUCAAAUUCACUGUUCCAAUCAUAAGCAUCAGGCAUGACAUUCACUCUUAUAAUCAUAAGCUUCAGGUAUGGCAGCCAUCUGGUUGCAUCGUUUUCUAUUAUGAUGGGGAUUUUGUUGGUUUUUCGGCCUAGCAUUCAAUCAUUCGCAUUGACAGGAGCCAAUGCAGUACAAUAUUAUACAUGCACAUAUCCUUUUAUAGGAAAUUUGAAUCAUAUAAUGGCUGAGGAUCAUUUGGAUGCAUGGAAAGCUCCACUUGAGAUAUUGGUGUUCAUGUCAAAGGGAUUAUUUUUUUGUUUGACUGCAACAUUGCCAAUGCACGAUGGCUUCAAUUUAGAUGGGAUGUCCUUCUCCACAUUUUAAUUCCUGUUCCAGGAGUGGAGUUUGUGAUGCAGUUCACAUGCUCUCUAUGCUGCAUACCUACUGCAGAUGUAACACGAUGGUUUGUGGCCUGGACUUUGAGAGCAUGCUCACAUUAGUUGGCUGAUUUCUUACGUGGCCUGGAUCUUGUGCACUUGUUCUAUAGGCACAUGCAUAGGUGGGCCGCACCUCUUCGCGUGUUUCUGGGUACACUCUUCAGCGAAAAAGGAUUCUCAGGAGGUUGCUUCCAAAGGCAAAUCCUCCACAUCCAUCGGCACCCUCAUCCAUGCAUCUAAAUACUUCUUGAGGCACAUGCCCAUGAGUAAAUCCUUAAUAUAUGAACAUCUUGAUUGUAAGUGAGCUUUCCAUGCUACUAAUGACCCAUAAUUUUCAUGUUGUUUCUAAUCUUUUAGCUACCAUUCAAUCUAACCGAAUUAUUAUUACCAUGCACAUGAAUCAUGAAUCAUUUAGUUGGCUUCUCAAUCCACAAAUGAAUUGAAUCGUGGGUGUGCAGUUUAAUCAUGGUGAAGUGGUAGGAAUAAAUGAUGCUUGGUAUUCAUAAUGAUGGAGUUGCCAUCAAAUUGCAGUUUCAUCUCUUUCAUCCAAUUUGAAAGCUGAACAAUUUGUGAAUGCUAAGAACAUUACAUAUUCUAUUUUAUCAGAACUAUAAUUGCAAUUCAGUUAGACAGUGCAUCUGAUUGCACCAGCAUAGUGCAGUAUUUGGAGGCAUUUUCAUAAAAUCAUUUAUACCAGACUUUGCCCAUAAACAAUGAUACUUUGUGGAUGCGUUAGUUGCCAUUUGUUACCACAUAAUCACUACAAGAACUUUGAUAUGGUAGAAGGGUUCCAUCUCCUUUGUUAGCUUGUGGUUGCUGGCAUUUAUCUGUAUCUGUGGCAUUUGCCACUUAUGAUUAUGUGGUUUCUUUAAGCAGUGAUUUCUAUUGUUGGGUGUAUUUGUGCAGUUCAGUAUCCCUAUUUAAUUGAGGUUAGGUGUUUCUAGUUGUUGUUAGUUACUUUUAAAGUUUUGGAGCAUCUUGUCUCUUCCGUGGAUGGUUGAACAUGUGGAAAGAAUCUGGAAGAAAAUGGUGAACUUGUUAAAUGAUACUGAAGUGAUUCUUCUAUCAGCGGUUGGUGAAUCAAGGGAAGCUGUGGUAGCUCCUGGAUGGACAUUAAGAAGCCAUUCGCCAGAAUAAUGUCGUUGAUCAACAAUGCGGACACAUCUGUCUGAAGACUCUUUGUAUUUCACAACUGCCUCCCUCUCUGCGCGGCUGCAUCUCUCCCUACCUGCAUAUCUGGCUGCCUACCUGCAUCUUGAUGAGUAGAUCCACAAAAAGGUGAAGAAUAGUCUAAGAGUCCCGUGAGCAUGGUUCUGAUUUGGUUACCCUGUCCAAACCCUUGCUGACUUGGACAUAUCAUUUAAGUCGCUUGAGGCUUGGUGCAGGUAAUGUUGAUGCUAAAAAUUGCUGGAGAAUUGACGGCUUGGCUGCUGCGCUGUGGGGGGUCAGAGUAUCACUCUCUUACAUAGUCAUUGUUGAAGAUGAAAGAAGAACAAGAGUGUUGAUGGUUUUGAUCAUUAUCGGCACUCAGUCAGUACCACAACUAGAUCCUGGAGAUGCCCAUGUACUUGGUUUGGACGGCUUCAGGGGUAAAAGUGGUAUCAGUUUUGGAGAAUGGUGCAUUGAAGCCUGUGCAAGAAAUUGACAGAUGCUACAGAACAGUAAGUAGCCGGAUUCUUCCUUAUCACCUUCCCUCUCUCUUCUCUGUGAAUACGUCAUCUUCCACCUUUACCGGAUAGUAAUAUUUCUUGUUGGCUUAGUAUUUUGAAAGAUUCUGAGUAGGCAACUCUUACCUGACUUUUUCAAACAACUUUUGAAGAUCCUUUUCUCAAA
Molecule: long non-coding RNA, 3299 nt
Organism: Magnolia sinica
Lineage: Eukaryota; Viridiplantae; Streptophyta; Magnoliopsida; Magnoliales; Magnoliaceae
Exons: 4
Source: RefSeq, a predicted model, not a curated record